RNAcentral lists this non-coding RNA (71 nucleotides) under unclassified sequences. RNAcentral's name for it is "L2-Alphaproteobacteria ribosomal protein leader". It matches the Rfam family "L2-Alphaproteobacteria ribosomal protein leader". The record is from RNAcentral.
GGGGACCUACGGGGCCCUAUCCACCAAGAGACGCGGCGGCAACGCUGCGCGAAGCAGACGGAAGACAGAAA